Molecule: transfer RNA, 63 nt
Filed under: Glossiphonia complanata
Lineage: Eukaryota; Metazoa; Annelida; Clitellata; Rhynchobdellida; Glossiphoniidae
Description: tRNA-Gly
Source: RNAcentral
UAUGAUAUUAGUAUAUAAAGUACAUCUUCCUUCCAAGUUGAAAGUUUAAAUUAAAUAUCAUAU